Molecule: non-coding RNA, 29 nt
Filed under: Rattus norvegicus (Norway rat)
Lineage: Eukaryota; Metazoa; Chordata; Mammalia; Rodentia; Muridae
Source: RNAcentral
UGCUAUAAUUUGUUGACUAACAGUGGUGU